CCUACGGGAGGCUGCAGUGAGGAAUAUUGGUCAAUGGACGAGAGUCUGAACCAGCCAAGUAGCGUGAAGGAUGACUGCCCUAUGGGUUGUAAACUUCUUUUAUAAAGGAAUAAAACGAGGCACGUGUUCCUUUUUGCAUGUACUUUAUGAAUAAGGAUCGGCUAACUCCGUGCCAGCAGUCGCGGUAAUACGGAGGAUCCGAGCGUUAUCCGGAUUUAUUGGGUUUAAAGGGAGGGUAGAUGGGUGGUUAAGUCAGUUGUGAAAGAUUGAGGCUCAACCGUAAAAUUGCAAUUGAUACUGGCAGUCGUGAGUACAGUUGAGGGAGGCGGAAUUCGUGGUGUAGCGGUGAAAUGCUUAGAUAUCACGAAGAACUCCGAUUGCGAAGGCAGCUUACUAGACUGCCACUGACAUUGAUGCUCGAAAGUGUGGGUAUCAAACAGGAUUAGAUACCCGGGUAGUC
RNAcentral lists this ribosomal RNA (460 nucleotides) under uncultured bacterium. RNAcentral's name for it is "partial 16S ribosomal RNA". It matches the Rfam family "Bacterial small subunit ribosomal RNA", at positions 338 to 795 of the family's 1533-position model. The record is from RNAcentral.